This 1608-nucleotide long non-coding RNA is filed under the name Androctonus crassicauda. Lineage: Eukaryota; Metazoa; Arthropoda; Arachnida; Scorpiones; Buthidae. The record is from RNAcentral.
UCCUUAUCGUCCGCUACCUCCUUGAAAUCCGACUUUAGCGCCGUGGUGGACCGGGCGCCGGAGUCCCGAAGCCCCUCAGUCACCGCCAAUCCGGGCCGCAUUACUCCCGAUAGCGGGGUCGAAACUAGACUCUUUACUCCGGACCUGAUGGUUAAAUCGUCUUCCGUCCCUACGCUACAGCGCCAUCUGUCUUCCAGCGGCGAAAGCGCUCCUUGGGGAAAGCCGGACACCCGAGAUCCCGUAAGAUUUUUAUUUUUAUACAACAAGAAUGACGCGGGUAGUAUAUAUAUAUUUUUUUCGUUUUUGCGCGGCCGCUAUAAAACGACUUUAAUAAACCGACACGCUCUUUCUCGCCACCUUUCCAAAAUUUAUAAAUAAUCGGCGCCGGAAGAAGUCGUUUUUAUUACCUUACCGAAUAAACUUUUUUAUUUUGUGAUUUUAGGAAUUUAAAAUAAUUUUUUUUUUGAAUUUUAAAUAUCGCGCGCUAAAAUGUUUUUGGCCGAUUAACUGGAAUUACGGCCAUAGAUGGCGCGGAUCGGAAACCCAGUCGAGAAUAAAAUUCUCGUAUAAUUUAAAUACAAUAAAUGGGUCGUGCCCGACUGGUAAACAUUAUUAUUAUUAUUAUCGUACAUGGUGAGAAUUAGUUCCUUUUGCGUGUCUUCUUCCAUUAGAAGGAAAAAAUAAAAAUUGUCUACGUUCGGAAUACUAACAGCGCGCUAUAAAAUAUAAAAAAUGGUUAAAAAUUGGUUUCCAUUUUUUCAGAUUUGUUUCGUCUCCAUUAAUCAUUCUCGAUUCACCGGUGAGUUUGUUUUGAUUUUCUAUUAUUAAUUUAAAAUCGUCUGUUUUAAUUGGUGGAUAGCGGCUGACGCCAUAGGCCGACCUGGCCGUAUCGCGCCGCACCGAAAUGUAGGCUAAUGGUGGCUUCGAUGGAAAUUGGGUCGCGUCUUCCGAUUCGGCCACCGGCACCAACCUUAAUUGGGUAGAUCACACGCCGCUGACUUAUUAUUUACCUACACGGGUUUACGUCUGGAGAAAAUCACGUGAUCUCCCCGGGCCGAAUGUCACCGGGAUGGCUAAGGGGGACGGUUCGUUAACCCUGGCCGAUCUAGUUAACCUCCUCCGCCUCCAUCUCUUAACCGAAUAUAAUCUGCAUAGGACAAAUGGAAAACAAUUGCCAAACUGGACACCACCUCCGGUAGAAGUUUAAAUAAAACGGCUAGGACAAAGGAAGGAAUGUUCGGUCCUUCCAGCUGGAGAAUCGAUUCGAAUGCCUACAAAAAUAAAUCUUCGUGAAUUUGUUCGGUUACGCUCGGACAACGGGCCGGCUUUAUCAAUCGACCGGAUGACAUUCACGCUCCGAUUGAUGUCGGUCGGAUCAUUCUUAUUCCGACGUGUUCAGAAAUUGUAUUUUCCGGUGCGUGAACCGGGAAGGUAGUUUUAAUCGAUAUUCUCUGCACUUAAGAAUGGUCGAGUCACCGUGUCUGAAACGUGACAAUGGCUUUAACACUCGGAGUGGCCACUUGUGUCGGCUGCCAGAGGUUGUUUGUUCGGUAGGCGCCCGUUCUCCGGAGUGAAGUGGUGUGGAUCGAGUAGAAAAGUCUCGAUUGU